GCAAGUCGCGGGGCAGCAUGGGGGUUGCUUGCAAUCCCUGAUGGCGACCGGCGCACGGGUGAGUAACGCGUAUCCAACCUGCCCUUCACCACGGGAUAACCCGGCGAAAGUCGGACUAAUACCGUAUGUUGUCCAUUGACGGCAUCUGAUUUGGACGAAAGGCUUAGCGGUGAGGGAUGGGGAUGCGUCCGAUUAGCUUGACGGCGGGGUAACGGCCCACCGUGGCAACGAUCGGUAGGGGUUCUGAGAGGAUGAUC
RNAcentral lists this ribosomal RNA (257 nucleotides) under uncultured bacterium. RNAcentral describes it as "partial 16S ribosomal RNA". It matches the Rfam family "Bacterial small subunit ribosomal RNA", at positions 57 to 305 of the family's 1533-position model. The record is from RNAcentral.